CAUUUAUGAGGUGCUAAACUCCACUAUUUGAGCUAAUCUUCAAUGACCUACUUCUGUUUAAACUACACCAUUUUCCAAGGCAGCCUACCUCUCGUGUGGUGGAGGAUGGCAGCACGUAGCCAGCGAUGGACAAGCCGUGGCACUUCUGCAGAAUCUUCCAGACCUUCUGGUA
Long non-coding RNA from Alosa sapidissima (American shad), 172 nucleotides. RefSeq lists it as uncharacterized. The transcript has 2 exons. NCBI's taxonomy places the organism in Eukaryota, Metazoa, Chordata, Actinopteri, Clupeiformes, Clupeidae. The record is from RefSeq and is a predicted model, not a curated record.